RNAcentral lists this ribosomal RNA (429 nucleotides) under Acidobacteriota bacterium. Its description in RNAcentral is "Acidobacteria bacterium partial 16S ribosomal RNA". It matches the Rfam family "Bacterial small subunit ribosomal RNA", at positions 355 to 776 of the family's 1533-position model. The record is from RNAcentral. Lineage: Bacteria; Pseudomonadati; Acidobacteriota.
UGGGGAAUUUUGGACAAUGGGGGAAACCCUGAUCCAGCCAUCCCGCGUGUGCGAUGAAGGCCUUCGGGUUGUAAAGCACCUUUGGCAGGAAAGAAACGUCAUGGGUUAAUACCCCGUGAAACUGACGGUACCUGCAGAAUAAGCACCGGCUAACUACGUGCCAGCAGCCGCGGUAAUACGUAGGGUGCAAGCGUUAAUCGGAAUUACCGGGCGUAAAGCGUGCGCAGGCGGUUCGGAAAGAAAGAUGUGAAAUCCCAGAGCUCAACUUUGGAACUGCAUUUUUAACUACCGGGCUAGAGUGUGUCAGAGGGAGGUGGAAUUCCGCGUGUAGCAGUGAAAUGCGUAGAUAUGCGGAGGAACACCGAUGGCGAAGGCAGCCUCCUGGGAUAACACUGACGCUCAUGCACGAAAGCGUGGGGAGCAAACAGG